Molecule: unclassified non-coding RNA, 20 nt
Filed under: Chlamydomonas reinhardtii
Lineage: Eukaryota; Viridiplantae; Chlorophyta; Chlorophyceae; Chlamydomonadales; Chlamydomonadaceae
Description: small RNA Cre_1184
Source: RNAcentral
CGAAACUAUCGGAGGAGCAG